RNAcentral lists this ribosomal RNA (253 nucleotides) under uncultured bacterium. Its description in RNAcentral is "partial 16S ribosomal RNA". It matches the Rfam family "Bacterial small subunit ribosomal RNA", at positions 524 to 776 of the family's 1533-position model. The record is from RNAcentral.
UACGUAGGGGGCAAGCGUUGUCCGGAUUUAUUGGGCGUAAAGAGCUCGUAGGUGGCUGAGUAAGUCGGAUGUUAAAUCCCCAGGCUCAACCUGGGACACCACCCGAUACUGCUCUAGCUAGAGUCCGGUAGGGGAGCAUGGAAUUCCUGGUGUAGCGGUGAAAUGCGCAGAUAUCAGGAGGAACACCAGCGGCGAAGGCGGUGCUCUGGGCCGGAACUGACACUGAGGAGCGAAAGCGUGGGUAGCAAACAGG